Molecule: ribosomal RNA, 352 nt
Filed under: uncultured eukaryote
Lineage: Eukaryota
Description: bacterial SSU rRNA
Rfam family: Eukaryotic small subunit ribosomal RNA
Source: RNAcentral
CGAUAACGAACGAGACCUCUACCAUCUAGUGGUGGUGGGUUUGCUUGCAAAGGUGAAUUCUGCAUACUAGGGGACAGACUGGGGUUACCAGUAGGAAGUUUGAGGCAAUAACAGGUCUGUGAUGCCCUUAGAUGUUCUGGCUGCACGCGCGCUACACUGAUGGAUGCAGCGAGUAGUUUGCCUUGCUCGGAAGGGCUGGGAAAUCUUGUGCAAGUCCAUCGUGCUGGGGAUAGACCAUUGCAAUUAUUGGUCUUCAACGAGGAAUUCCUAGUAAAUGCGUGUCAUUAGCGCGCGUUGAUUACGUCCCUGCCCUUUGUACACACCGCCCGUCGCUACUACCGAUUGAAUGGCU